GGUUAAGCGAAUAAGCGUACACGGUGGAUGCCUAGGCAAUCAGAGGCGAUGAAGGACGUGCUAAUCUGCGAAAAGCGUCGGUAAGGUGAUAUGAACCGUUAUACCCGACGAUAUCCGAAUGGGGAAACCCAGUAUCCAAUGGAUACUAUCAUUAACUGAAUUCAUAGGUUAAUGAGGCGAACCGGGAGAACUGAAACAUCUCAGUACCCCGAGGAAAAGAAAUCAACCGAGAUUCCCCUAGUAGCGGCGAGCGAACGGGGAGCAGCCCAGAGUCUUAAUCAAUGGCAGUGUCAGGAGAACGGUCUGGAAAGUCCGGCAGUAAAGGGUGAUAGCCCCGUAUCUGAAGAUGCUGUUAUUGUGA
Molecule: ribosomal RNA, 361 nt
Filed under: Proteus mirabilis
Lineage: Bacteria; Pseudomonadati; Pseudomonadota; Gammaproteobacteria; Enterobacterales; Morganellaceae
Description: partial 23S ribosomal RNA
Rfam family: Bacterial large subunit ribosomal RNA
Source: RNAcentral